UGGGGAAUAUUGCACAAUGGGCGAAAGCCUGAUGCAGCGACGCCGCGUGAGGGAUGACGGCCUUCGGGUUGUAAACCUCUUUCAGCAGGGAAGAAGCGAAAGUGACGGUACCUGCAGAAGAAGCGCCGGCUAACUACGUGCCAGCAGCCGCGGUAAUACGUAGGGCGCAAGCGUUGUCCGGAAUUAUUGGGCGUAAAGAGCUCGUAGGCGGUUAGUCGCGUCUGCUGUGAAAACUCGAGGCUCAACCUCGGGCUUGCAGUGGGUACGGGCUGACUAGAGUGCGGUAGGGGUGACUGGAAUUCCUGGUGUAGCGGUGGAAUGCGCAGAUAUCAGGAGGAACACCGAUGGCGAAGGCAGGUCACUGGGCCGCAACUGACGCUGAGGAGCGAAAGCAUGGGGAGCGAACAGGAUUAGAUACCCUGGUAGUCCAUGCCGUAAACGUUGGGCACUAGGUGUGGGGUCCAUUCCACGGAUUCCGUGCCGCAGCAAACGCAUUAAGUGCCCCGCCUGGGGAGUACGGCCGCAAGGCUAAAACUCAAAUGAAUUGACGGGGUCAUAGCU
Molecule: ribosomal RNA, 561 nt
Filed under: uncultured bacterium
Lineage: Bacteria
Description: partial 16S ribosomal RNA
Rfam family: Bacterial small subunit ribosomal RNA
Source: RNAcentral